RNAcentral lists this long non-coding RNA (741 nucleotides) under Elaeis guineensis (African oil palm). RNAcentral describes it as "long non-coding RNA (EGUI_LNC028875)". Lineage: Eukaryota; Viridiplantae; Streptophyta; Magnoliopsida; Arecales; Arecaceae. The record is from RNAcentral.
GCCUUGUGCUACACCUACACUUUUAUAAUUUACAAAAGUGAAAAUAUAGUGAUCAAAAAAGAAUGUGGCUUUGGCUGAGUCAUUGAAUUCCAAAUGAGGAAGUACAUGGACACAAUUUUGGUUCAUUACUACAGAUUUAAUAAGCUCGCUUCUUUCUUGAAAUUUUGUAAUAUCAUUUGCCACAUCUGAUGCUUCUGCAACCCGGCUGACUAUAUUUGCAGACUAGUACUGGUUUAACAUUAAUGUCAAAAGGAUCCACUGUAUACAGAGCACAUAUAUCCAACUUUUUCUUCCAUGUUCUACAACAUUCUUUUACAAAGAUCUCCCUUGGUCUUUAGAUGUUGAGAAAAAAAUGCACAGUAACUAUGUUCUAGAUUUUCUAUAUUUUUUUCUCAUUCCUACGGCUAAUAGUGAUGUGGUGGUAUUUAUGGACAGAAGCACUUUUAAUGUUACCAGAUGAAGCUGAAUAGAACUAUAGAAAAGUUACUCAAGUGAAAAAGCAAUAGAAAUAACCAAGAAAAUGCAUUAGUGAUUUCGCAGGUGUGCUUAUUCUGUGUGGACAAUUUGUCAAAUGUGGACCAUAAUCCCUCAACAUAUAUAUGAUUGCCCCCAAUUUGUUUUUCAUUUCUGUGGGAUGUAUCUUGAUUGAUAUAUUGUGUUGCUGGUAUUGGUGUUGACUUCCAUAUGACAAGUCUGUCAUCUCCAAUCCAUUCUAUAACAUCUUUGCUUAUUGAUUGUUGG